RNAcentral lists this transfer RNA (69 nucleotides) under Marmota monax (woodchuck). RNAcentral's name for it is "tRNA.Ala". The stretch from base 4 to 64 matches the Rfam family "tRNA", at positions 6 to 65 of the family's 71-position model. From Rfam's summary of the family: Transfer RNA (tRNA) molecules are approximately 80 nucleotides in length. Lineage: Eukaryota; Metazoa; Chordata; Mammalia; Rodentia; Sciuridae. The record is from RNAcentral.
GGAUGUAGUUCAGUGGUAGAACAUUCACCUAGCAUGAGUGAAAGCCUGGGAUCGAGUCCCAGCAGCACA